This 253-nucleotide ribosomal RNA is filed under the name uncultured bacterium. RNAcentral describes it as "partial 16S ribosomal RNA". It matches the Rfam family "Bacterial small subunit ribosomal RNA", at positions 524 to 776 of the family's 1533-position model. The record is from RNAcentral.
UACGUAGGGUGCAAGCGUUGUCCGGAAUUAUUGGGCGUAAAGAGCUCGUAGGCGGUUUGUCGCGUCGGCUGUGAAAACUCGGGGCUCAACCCCGAGCCUGCAGUCGAUACGGGCAGGCUAGAGUCCGGCAGGGGAGACUGGAAUUCCUGGUGUAGCGGUGAAAUGCGCAGAUAUCAGGAGGAACACCGGUGGCGAAGGCGGGUCUCUGGGCCGAUACUGACGCUGAGGAGCGAAAGCGUGGGGAGCGAACAGG